GACGAACGCUGGCGGCGUGCUUAACACAUGCAAGUCGAGCGGUAAGGCCCUUUCGGGGGUACACGAGCGGCGAACGGGUGAGUAACACGUGGGUGACCUGCCCUCAGCUCUGGGAUAAGCCUGGGAAACCGGGUCUAAUACUGGAUAUGACUCCAUGACGCAUGUUGUGGGGUGGAAAGCCUUGUGCGGCUGAGGAUGGGCCCGCGGCCUAUCAGCUUGUUGGUGGGGUGAGGCCUACCAAGGCGACGACGGGUAGCCGGCCUGAGAGGGCGACCGGCCACACUGGGACUGAGACACGGCCCAGACUCCUACGGGAGGCAGCAGUGGGGAAGUCUUGCGCAAUGGGCGAAAGCCUGACGCAGCGACGCCGCGUGAGGGAUGACGGCCUCGGUUGUAACGUACUUCUA
Molecule: ribosomal RNA, 407 nt
Filed under: uncultured bacterium
Lineage: Bacteria
Description: bacterial SSU rRNA
Rfam family: Bacterial small subunit ribosomal RNA
Source: RNAcentral